UCAAAAUGAAAAGAGCCCCGGGAAGUCGGAACUUCCUAUGGGCAAGAAGCAGGCUCUGAAACUACACAGUCACGAACGUAAGCCACUUCUUAUGGAAAAGAAAGGAUGACUCAAGGAAAAGAACCAAGAGUCCAGAAGGCAGAGCUAAGAGCCACAGGGAAUCACUCUCAGGGAGCAGGACUGGGUCCCAGUCAAGGAAAUGGAAGUAUGUACCUGGCUGGGAUUUCAGAAUUGAUAUGGAACGCUGACUGGUGCAUCCCUCCUGUUUCCCCCUUUUUGAACAGGAGUGUUCAUUGCAGUUAUCUUAUCCCCAUCACACCAUUGGAUGCUGUGUUUGUGUUACAGACAACUUGAUUAUUUCUUUAAUUGGUCUUUAGAUCAAGAGGAACCACACCCAAGGAGCCAAAUGUGAAGAGCCUCAUGUAUACCUGGACCUCAUUUAGAUGGUGAGACCCUGAACUUUGAGCUGAUGCUGUAAGCCCCCCGGUACAUAGUUGUAUAUUCUGAGUUGUGAGUCCUUCUAGUUGUGGCAUGUGGGACGCCGCCUCAGCAUGGCCUGAUGAGCAGUACCAUGUCUGCACCCAGGAUCAGAACCAACGAAACACUGGGCCACCUGCAGCGAAGCACGCGAACUUAACCGCUCCGCCACAGGGCCGGCCCCGCAACUGAUUUUUGUUUUCAAGUGUUUAUUCCCACAAAGCAACUACGUCCCACAUUCAUCCUCAUACUUUGUGGCAUAUCUGUAAGUUCUCAGCGGGCUUUAGUUCUGUAUAGACAAGACCAGAUGUCAGGACCUUGACCAAGGUGAGGAAGGUGCCCAUGACAAGGCAGAGACCUGAGUUGGGUGUCCCUCCACCAGCUCCUCCCUAAGCACAGUGAAACCAGCCUCCAUGUUGUCAGGAAGGAAAUGCCCCACUUGACUUUGUAGAGUACAGACAGCAUACAGGAG
RNAcentral lists this long non-coding RNA (949 nucleotides) under Equus caballus (horse). RNAcentral's name for it is "lncRNA (ENSECAG00000053649.1)". The record is from RNAcentral. Lineage: Eukaryota; Metazoa; Chordata; Mammalia; Perissodactyla; Equidae.